CCUACGGGGGGCUGCAGUGGGGAAUAUUGGACAAUGGGCGAAAGCCUGAUCCAGCCAUGCCGCGUGUGUGAAGAAGGCCUUCGGGUUGUAAAGCACUUUCAGUGGGGAAGAAAGCCUUGGGGCUAAUACCCUCGAGGAAGGACAUCACCCACAGAAGAAGCACCGGCUAACUCCGUGCCAGCAGCCGCGGUAAUACGGAGGGUGCGAGCGUUAAUCGGAAUUACUGGGCGUAAAGCGCGCGUAGGCGGUCUGAUAAGCCGGUUGUGAAAGCCCCGGGCUCAACCUGGGAACGGCAUCCGGAACUGUCAGGCUAGAGUGCAGGAGAGGAAGGUAGAAUUCCCGGUGUAGCGGUGAAAUGCGUAGAGAUCGAGAGGAAUACCAGUGGCGAAGGCGGCCUUCUGGACUGACACUGACGCUGAGGUGCGAAAGCGUGGGUAGCAAACAGGAUUAGAUACCCUAGUAGUC
This 465-nucleotide ribosomal RNA is filed under the name Vreelandella stevensii. RNAcentral describes it as "partial 16S ribosomal RNA". It matches the Rfam family "Bacterial small subunit ribosomal RNA", at positions 338 to 795 of the family's 1533-position model. The record is from RNAcentral. Lineage: Bacteria; Pseudomonadati; Pseudomonadota; Gammaproteobacteria; Oceanospirillales; Halomonadaceae.